UGGGGAAUAUUGGACAAUGGGCGCAAGCCUGAUCCAGCCAUGCUGCGUGAGUGAUGAAGGCCCUAGGGUUGUAAAGCUAUUUCACCGGUGAAGAUAAUGACGGUAACCGGAGAAGAAGCCCUGGCUAACUUCGUGCCAGCAGCCGCGGUAAUACGAAGGGGGCUAGCGUUGUUCGGAUUUACUGGGCGUAAAGCGCACGUAGGCGGACUUUUAAGUCAGGGGUGAAAUCCCGGGGCUCAACCCCGGAACUGCCUUUGAUACUGGAAGUCUUGAGUAUGGUAGAGGUGAGUUGAAUUCCGAGUGUAGACGUGAACUUCGUAGAUAAUCGGAAGAACACCAGUAGCGAAGGCGGCUCACUGAACCAUUACUGACGCUGAGGUGCGAACGCGUGAGGAGCAAACAGG
This 404-nucleotide ribosomal RNA is filed under the name Actinomycetes bacterium. Its description in RNAcentral is "Actinobacteria bacterium partial 16S ribosomal RNA". It matches the Rfam family "Bacterial small subunit ribosomal RNA", at positions 355 to 776 of the family's 1533-position model. The record is from RNAcentral. Lineage: Bacteria; Bacillati; Actinomycetota; Actinomycetes.